Molecule: long non-coding RNA, 405 nt
Filed under: Gossypium barbadense (sea-island cotton)
Lineage: Eukaryota; Viridiplantae; Streptophyta; Magnoliopsida; Malvales; Malvaceae
Description: long non-coding RNA (GBAR_LNC019446)
Source: RNAcentral
CGUCUUCGUCAUCAUCCUCGUCCUCAUCGUCCUCAUCUUCAUCGUCAUCCUCUUCUUCACUCCCCACUUUAGCCAGUUUCGAUGCCUCUGUCUCAAUUCUACCGGCAAUUUGAGCAUUUUCAGAGGAAUGGAGGCAUUGAGCUUGCUGGUGCUGAGUCUGGGAUAUCUCCGUAGCCACCACUGAUGAUUGAUGAGCCCCAGCAGUUGCAACAUGGCCGCAACUAUUAUGAUAAGCACACAUCUCCCUGAAAAACAGGUGCUUAGAAUUCAACAAUUUCUUCACUUCUUCCUUCAUUUUGGGAGACAAAUCCAUGGAAUCAAGCAAGCUUUGAUUCUCCACCACUUUACAAGCUGUCCCUCUACCCAGUAUAUCAUUAACCCUCUUAUACCUCUUAUUCAAAUCAU